AAGAGCCCAUCGCCCAAUCCGACGCCUCCUCGGCGUACCGGAAAUUUGGCGUAUGGGAGAGACGCUUCCGGGCGCCGCCUCCGGUGCAAGUCCCUCUGACUGGGGCUCCUACCCCGAGAGGGUGCAAGGCCCGUAGCGGCCGGAAGGUGGUCCCGGAUGUCCUCUCCUGGGAGUCGGGUUGCUUGAGAGUGCAGCCCUAAUCGGGUGGUAAACUCCAUCUAAGGCUAAAUACGACCUCGAGACCGAUAGCGAACAAGUACCGUGAGGGAAAGUUGAAAAGGACUUUGAAGAGAGAGUUCAAGAGUACGUGAAACCGUUCGGAGGUAAACGAGUGGGCCCUCGAAGGAAGAUGGCGGGGGACUCAGGCGAGAGAGAUGGCCUGCCAGCGCUGCCUCGCUUCCCAAACUGGACUUGGCGCGCGGGCUAGUGCUCUAGCUUUCGUCGCAUUUCCUCUCGCCCUCUGACGCUGCGACCGGUCGGGUGCGCCACAAGCAGUCGGCCUUACUCGCGGGGAUCGGCAGGUAGCCGGGACAGUGCUUUGGCGCUGCUCCGGUGUUUAGCCACCCCGCAAUCACGGCCGUUCACCCGACCGCAGGAAAUGGCUCUCAGGGGCCGAGCCGCGCCCUCCCCUCGUGGGAGCGCUCUUCCGCCGGAAGGGAGGUCGCCGUUCUCGCCUGUUCACCGCAAGGUGUCAGGUGUGCGGUGGCGCCUGGUGGCUGGCGGAAUUGCGUGCGGGCGCAGGCGGUCUGCAGCGAGUAGGUCGGUCACCCACUCGACCCGUCUUGAAACACGGACCAAGGAGUUUAACAUGUGCGCGAGUCAUUGGGUCUUGCACAGGCCCAAAGGCGCAAUGAAAGUGAAGGUCGGCUUUCGCCGUCCGCGUUGGGAUCCGGGGCUUCGGCUUCGGCGCACCAACGGCUCGUCCACGUCGCCACGUCGACCGGGCGAAGCUAGAGCGUACACGUUGAGACCCGAAAGAUGGUGAACUAUGGCUGGGCAGGACGAAGCCAGAGGAAACUCUGGUGGAGGUCCGCAGCGGUUCUGACGUGCAAAUCGAUCGUCAGACCUGGCUAUAGGGGCGAAAGACUAAUCGAACCAUCUAGUAGCUGGUUCCCUCCGAAGUUUCCCUCAGGAUAGCUGGCGCUCAGGAGGAAGCAGUCUCAUCCGGUAAAGCGAAUGAUUAGAGGCCUUGGGGCCGAAAAGACCUCAACCUAUUCUCAAACUUUCAAUGGGUGAGAAGUCCGGUUUGCUUGAUUGAAGCCCGGACCUUCUCGGAUGCGAGUGCCCAGUGGGCCACUUUUGGUAAGCAGAACUGGCGCUGUGGGAUGAACCAAACGACGGGUUAAGGGGCCCGAUGCAGGACGCUCAUGAGACCCCAUGAAAGGUGUUGGUUGCUAUAGACAGCAGGACGGUGGCCAUGGAAGUCGGAAUCCGCCAAGGAGUGUGUAACAACUCACCUGCCGAAGCAACUAGCCCUGAAAAUGGAUGGCGCUUCAGCGUCGACCCCAUACCCGUCCGCCGCGGCGGAGAUGCGAUCGCAUUAUGCCGCGGUGAGUAGGAGGGCGCGGGGGCGCGCGUGGAAGGUGCCGGGCGUAAGCCCGCCUGGAGCCGCCCCCGGUGCAGAUCUUGGUGGUAGUAGCAAAUACUCAAGUGAGAACCUUGAGGACUGAGGUGGAGAAGGGUUCCAUGUGAACAGCAGUUGAACAUGGGUCAGUCGGUCCUAAGGGAUGUCCGAAAGGAUUUCUGAAGGGGGACUUUAUGUAGAUGGGUCCCGCCCAUGACCGAAAGGGAAUCGGGUUAAUAUUCCCGAACCCGGACACGGAGAUCGGCCCCCUCGGGGGCACGUGCGGUAACGCAAACGACCUCGGAGACGUCGACGGGGGUCCCGGGAAGAGUUGUCUUUUCUUUGUAAGGGUUCGGCUCCCUGGAAUCGGCUCGCCCGGAGAUAGGGAUGCUGAACCCGUAAAGCACCGCGCCUCUUGCAGUGUCCGGAGCGCUCCCGUCGGCCCUUGAAAAUCCGAGCGAGAGUUGGUGAUUUUCGUGCCGGACCGUACCCAUAUCCGCAGCAGGUCUCCAAGGUGAACAGCCUC
This 2090-nucleotide ribosomal RNA is filed under the name Equitius doriae. RNAcentral's name for it is "eukaryotic LSU rRNA". It matches the Rfam family "Eukaryotic large subunit ribosomal RNA", at positions 103 to 1883 of the family's 3401-position model. Lineage: Eukaryota; Metazoa; Arthropoda; Arachnida; Opiliones; Triaenonychidae. The record is from RNAcentral. RNAcentral also lists the same sequence under 1 other name.